Molecule: unclassified non-coding RNA, 160 nt
Filed under: uncultured Leotiomycetes
Lineage: Eukaryota; Fungi; Ascomycota; Leotiomycetes
Description: sequence contains ITS1
Source: RNAcentral
CAGAGAACUUGCCCCUUGGGGUAGAUCUCCACCCUUUGUUUACAAUACCAUUGUUGCUUUGGCAGGCCCGUCUUUGACCACCGGCUUCAGCUGGUCAGUGCCUGCCAGAGGAUCCUAAAACUCUUGAUUUUGUAUUGUCUGAGUCUUAAGAUAAUAGUUA